CCGGGUUGCGGACAGUGUCUGGUGGGUAGUUUGACUGGGGCGGUCUCCUCCUAAAGAGUAACGGAGGAGCACGAAGGUUGGCUAAUCCUGGUCGGACAUCAGGAGGUUAGUGCAAUGGCAUAAGCCAGCUUGACUGCGAGCGUGACGGCGCGAGCAGGUGCGAAAGCAGGUCAUAGUGAUCCGGUGGUUCUGAAUGGAAGGGCCAUCGCUCAACGGAUAAAAGGUACUCCGGGGAUAACAGGCUGAUACCGCCCAAGAGUUCAUAUCGACGGCGGUGUUUGGCACCUCGAUGUCGGCUCAUCACAUCCUGGGGCUGAAGUAGGUCCCAAGGGUAUGGCUGUUCGCCAUUUAAAGUGGUACGCGAGCUGGGUUUAGAACGUCGUGAGACAGUUCGGUCCCUAUCUGCCGUGGGCGCUGGAGAACUGAGGGGGGCUGCUCCUAGUACGAGAGGACCGGAGUGGACGCAUCACUGGUGUUCGGGUUGUCAUGCCAAUGGCACUGCCCGGUAGCUAAAUGCGGAAGAGAUAAGUGCUGAAAGCAUCUAAGCACGAAACUUGCC
RNAcentral lists this ribosomal RNA (559 nucleotides) under Escherichia coli. RNAcentral describes it as "partial 23S ribosomal RNA". It matches the Rfam family "Bacterial large subunit ribosomal RNA", at positions 2240 to 2798 of the family's 2925-position model. The record is from RNAcentral. Lineage: Bacteria; Pseudomonadati; Pseudomonadota; Gammaproteobacteria; Enterobacterales; Enterobacteriaceae.